Molecule: long non-coding RNA, 928 nt
Filed under: Gossypium barbadense (sea-island cotton)
Lineage: Eukaryota; Viridiplantae; Streptophyta; Magnoliopsida; Malvales; Malvaceae
Description: long non-coding RNA (GBAR_LNC002722)
Source: RNAcentral
UGUGAUUAUAAUAAGCCAAUUUCAUCCGGCCUAAAUAAAAAUAAAUAAACAAAAUAAAAUAAAGAGUCCAAAGUCCAAUGAUACAAAAAAAAACCAAUGCCCAAAUAUACAAACCCUAACCCAAUAACUCCGGGGCCCAAACUACUAGUGGCCCAAAAGAACCUAAACUUUUCAGAAAUCCAGAAACCCUAGGGUUCCUAACGCCCCACCCCCUUCACAGGCACGCCGCCCGAGGCUCCUCGUCCCGAGGCCUAAUGCACCUCUGCCACCCUUGCAUUAAAACGGCGAAGGCAAGGGCCGCCAUCCCACUGUUGACCACGCACCGUCACCUGUAAAGAAAAAGAACGAAAGGACAGAAAACGCAGAAACAAUAAAAGAAAACAGUAGCAAAAAUAGUAGAUACAAUAAAAUAUAUAUAAUAUAUAUAUAAUCGGAUAUAAAAGUCGGAUUCAAAAUGUAUUUUAGGAGAGAUAAAAAGCAAUCAAAAAAGAUAUACAAAGAAAUUCUCAAAGGUGAUUUAUUUUUUUUAAAUCUGUUAUUUUCUUUUUCUUUUUCUUUUUUAAAAAGAAACACAACAUAAAAUAAAAAAGAAGAAAACUCACCUGAAGCUUCGUCUUCGGCCGUCGUGGGUGGGCGAUGACUCAUUCUCUAAGGAGGGAUGGUCUUCUCCGAUGCAAAGGACCUCCGAAUCCCUAGAGAUUUGUUGGGGGCUUCGCUGGAGAGAAGGAAAUCGAAAGGUUUUCCCUUUUUUUAAGAAAAAAAUUGGCUUUAGUUCUGACGGCUUUAACCCCAAAUCAAAGUUCUACGCAAAGUAACGAGCAAAAGGGGGCAUUUUGGUUUUCUUAGGCCAUCGGAGGCACGGCGAACGAACAACAGCCUCGUCGCCGAAAGUGGAUAGAGUUUUGAGAGAGAGAAAACAAGGGAAGAG